GUUGCUUCUCGGCCUUUUGACUAAAAUCAAGUGUAGUAUCUGUUCUUAUCAGUUUAAAUAUUGGUUCACACACCAGACAUAUU
This 83-nucleotide small nuclear RNA is filed under the name Sorex araneus (European shrew). Its description in RNAcentral is "U2 spliceosomal RNA (ENSSARG00000019543.1)". It matches the Rfam family "U2 spliceosomal RNA", at positions 1 to 93 of the family's 192-position model. Rfam says of the family: U2 is a small nuclear RNA (snRNA) component of the spliceosome (involved in pre-mRNA splicing). Complementary binding between U2 snRNA (in an area lying towards the 5' end but 3' to hairpin I) and the branchpoint sequence (BPS) of the intron results the bulging out of an unpaired adenosine, on the BPS, which initiates a nucleophilic attack at the intronic 5' splice site, thus starting the first of two transesterification reactions that mediate splicing. The record is from RNAcentral. Lineage: Eukaryota; Metazoa; Chordata; Mammalia; Eulipotyphla; Soricidae.